Culex quinquefasciatus (southern house mosquito) is the source of this 1404-nucleotide long non-coding RNA. RefSeq lists it as uncharacterized. The transcript is spliced from 3 exons. NCBI's taxonomy places the organism in Eukaryota, Metazoa, Arthropoda, Insecta, Diptera, Culicidae. The record is from RefSeq and is a predicted model, not a curated record.
UGUAGUUGUUACUCAUUGUGCCUAAACAUCGUCCGCGCAAGCUGCAGCAAAAACAAAAAUGCCGAUAGGGCACACGGCGAUGACACUUGAAAGCGCUUCAGCUGCGAGAAUUUUCUUGCGCUGUCAAACGAUCGCAGCGUGAGAGCGAAAAGGAGAGGAACAUCUACUUCCGCUGUGGCUCGUCGUGCAAAUCGUCCUCUGCAGCGGCGAGGCGUCAUUGCAAAACGAGUGGUCGACGGUGAAAGGUGCGUGCGUGCCGUCGCGAGCGAGACACGCGGAAAAGUGGUGCCGGUCCGUCGAAAAGCAGAACAACUAAAGUGGGCUCGAAGCCAAACCCGGAAGAUCAAACGCGGCAAGGCGGAGCCCGGCGCAAAAUUCCGCGACAAGAAACGUCUCCAUCGCUCGAAGGCACGCCACGCAAUCUCAAGAUCUGUCCCACACUCGUCAUUCAGCGCUUGGUCGGUCGCUGCUGAACGAAUAAAAGGUGCCAGUCUCGCCCGGAAUCUGGCCAACACCGAACACCCCCCGUCGAGUUCAAGCACGUCAAGAAGACCCAUCCGGAAGAGGAGCAAAGCGAAAAGACCCUCGCAGGAGGGUCUUUUUUCGCACACGCUCAGCGCGCACAGGGCUCGACGGGCGUAACGAGGCGGUCCAGGAUCAACUACGCCACACGCCUGGAGCUGCGCCGAGGAUCAGCAACCGUGCGGACGGAUCGCGGACAGCCGAUCGCCUUUGAGAACCCACGCGCUGGAGAAGUCCACGCGUACGCACGCACGGGGACCAGCACGACACGCACAAGAUUUGGGGAGAUUUGGCAUCGGGUUCGUGCAUGAACGCGGCCACGCCGCGCGACUCAAGCACACAAAAGAAAUAUCAACACGCCAGCCAGGGAGAGACCACACACGCACCAGCGCGCUCGUGAUUCGUCCACGCAUCAGGCAGCACAGUCGCCGCGGCCGAUUCGCCACAGCUGCGCGCCAACAAGAAUCAGCGCGUGAAGCAACACGUCUACGUUCGCGCGUCGGCAUCCGGCGGCCAGUUGCUGCUCGCCGAUACGCCUGGGACUGCAGAGAGUGAACAAUUCGUGAGUGCUAGUUGUAAGUUUGGGGGUGCACCUACCAAGGACGCGAAGCGUCGAAGAACCCACGCGAAGCACAGGCAGGUUGAAAAUUGUGAGGCGCAAAGCGCAUGAGUCUGCUCACGCGCGCAUGAGGGAACCGUGAGCGCACGAAGGGGCGCACGAGCGCAUGUUAGGCACCGCGAGCGUAUCGCAAUUUUAGAAUAAGCAAAUUUCACACGCUGAUGUAAUGUUGGGAAGAAUAGAGUUGGGUUUUUGGAUGUAAUUUAGCUUUUGUUUCGCCUUUAUUUGGUACCGCAUUUGUUUUGAGCUUACGGAGUGUCGCC